UGGCGUGGCUUCCCUCAGGACUCCACCUUCGAUUGCAUCCGGAUUGCGUAAUCGGGAAUUGCCCCGCCGGGAAGAACCCGGUCUCGAGGAAUCCGGAGACAGAGGAGAACGAAACGCUCGCCACACCUCUUCUGGGAGGAGGCGUUUAUGAGCUUUAACGCGAGGACACCUCGCCGGGGAAUCGGGAGGCCCGGACGACUUAAAAUUUAAAAACCUCUGCUCAUCGGUUGCCUUGCUUCGAAACAGAAAUUAAAAGACCCAGGUCGACCUAGACACUCCCGCGACAGAUGUGUGCGGCGCAGGAGCCCGGGAGGGGCAGGGGCGGCCCACGGUGCGGUGUGCUCUGGGAAGGAACAGGGUCCGAGACUGCGGAGGACCGGCCCGGCCUUGAAAGCAGGCCCCGACCCCUCGCAGUCUGUUGCGCAAGCAACGGGGCGGGAGUUGGGGAGGGCGGCUAAGUUCUGUUUCCAGGGAGACCAUUCGGCUGACCGCCAACAGAGCUAAAGGUGGACAAACCCCGACGGGCGGCCAAGGUCCUGAAGGGGCCCCCUAGUAAAGGUUGGCGACGAUGUCCUGACCCUUGAUUGACCCCAAACUCCUGAUUCUGCCUCUCCCAACCUCGUGACCCUGAGACGCGUCGAACCCCGCCAGAAUCUUCGGGCUGGUCGAGGGGAAGGGCUGAGCUGGAGGAGCGGGCUGGAGGCCUCGACCCAUGGUGCCCAAGAGGAAGCGCGGGCCGAGCGCCUGGGGCCGGUCUGGCGCGGCAGGAGAGGGCACCGAGCCGCCGCAAUCGGAGAGCGCUCAGUACUUGCAGCGAGAAUACAAACUGCUCUCGGAGCAGCUGGACGCCUGCGAGGAGCGCGUCGACCAGGAGCUGCAGGAGAACGCCUUCCUGGACUGCGAGGCGCAGCGCCUGCGCGAGGAGAACCGGCUCUACGCCAGCUACGUGAGCACGCGCGCGCAGCGCUGCGCCAACGCUAUCGUCCGGCUGGAGGAGCAGAACCGCGUGGACCUGACGGAGAUCCACCGGCAGCGCGCAGAGCUGGCGUCGCUCUACCGCCGGCGUGAGGAGGGGGUGUGCGCGCAGCUGCUGGAGAUGGAGACGCGCGCGGCGCAGAUGGCGCGACAGGUGCAGGAGCUGCAGCCCUACAAGGAGCUGCAGCUGGAGCAGCUGGCCCGGAUCCGGGCGCUGGAGCGCGAGCUGCUGCAUAUGCGCGUGGAGCACAUGCAGCUGCUCCAUCGCAUGAAGCGGUGUUUCCAGGAGGAAAAAGCAGCCUUCGAGCGCGAGGCGCGCCAGCGCGUGCAGUCCCUGGCGUGGCGCGCGGAGCGGGAGGCGGCGCGCGCGCUCAUCGCGCACACACAGGCCAUCAGAGAGGACAACGGGCGCCUGCGGCAGGAGCUGCUGCGGCUGCAACGCCGGGCCCAGGUGCUGCACGACACGCGGCGCCAGUUGCUGGAGCAGCGUGAACAGCUGCGGCGCGAGCACGAGGACAUGCGGAACCUGGCCCACGUGCACAGCUGGCUGCGCCGGGGCCCCGAGGGCCCGCCGCUUUGGCAACCGCCGCUGGCCAACUCGCACCCUGAGCACUUCGCCUCCACCACGAUCCAGUCGCGCGCGACCUCCUGGGCCCCAUCAGUCUCGGCCUCCCGGAAGCCGUCUCAGGUCUCGUGGCGCGCGGCCUCUUGGGCCCCAUCGUUGCUGUCGAAGCUCGCGGUUCCCUGGGUCCCGUCAUUGGUCCCGUCGCGUGUUGGCUCCAGGGUCCUGUCGCUGGCCCCUUCGAAGGCGGAAUCACGGGUCCCAUGCCACGACCCAUCGCAUGCGAGCUCCAGGGUCCCGUCCUUGACCUUGUCGCGCCCAGGCUCCCGAGUCCCGUCCCUGACCCCGCCACGCCUGGAUUCCUGGGCCCCUUCGCGGUCCUCAUUGCGUGCCGCCUCACAGAACACCACCCUCUUUGGGAAGUCCGUCCCCGGGUCGGGCUCUUCCCGUCCCCCAGUCGAAGGAGACCGUGAAUGUGACGCUGCAGGCGAAGGCGCCUUGGGGAGAUCCUGAACUUACCCGGAGGAAGGCCAAUGAGGCCAGACGGUGCGGGGGAGACGGGGGUGCGCAGGACGCGGAUUUGGUGAGUGGAUUAUCAAUAAAGGUGUGACCCCCUCCCCACCCCUCUCCGCUCUGGCACCGCCUGCUUCGCUGUCCCGCAUUUCUGGCCGGCGCAGGGACCACUCAUUAUGGCUCCCAGUUUCCAAGCUGCAAGGUAGCUUGAUCGUCCUGUGCCCUGUGUGUCUGCCAGGAUUGAGCAUCCCUCAACCCCACAGCUGACCUCUGGCAGGGGCAGAGGGAGCCGGCCACGCCAUCGUCCUGCCCAUGAGGGCUGAAGUCUGGUGGCAGAGAUGGACAUCACGGGCAUGGACAGCUUUCCAGCAUCUCCCUCUUAACAAGCUGCUCAAACUCAGCCCUGGUCUGCCCGGCAGGCUGCCAGCUGACGGUGCCUGUGGGGAUGGAGGAGAGCCACCCCAUAGGCCCCGAGGAAGUGGAGCAACAGGAACUCCCCAUGCCUUGCUGGAGGGGAUGCAGACUGCUGCAGCCACUCAAAGAGACAAUUUGGUGGUUUCUCACAAAAUUAACAUACUUGUAUAAUAUGAUCCAGCAAUGACACUCCAACCCAAAGGAACUGAGAACUUACGUCCACACAAAAACCUGCACAUGUACGUUUAUAGCAGCUUUGUUCAUAACUGACAAAACUUGGGAGCAACCCAGAUGUCCUCCAGUAGGUGAGUAGAUAAAUACAUGGUGGUCCAUCCAGAAAAUGAAAUAUUAAGCAGCACUAAAAAGAAAUGAGCUAUCAGCCGUGGAAAGACACGGAGGAACCGUGAAUGCAAAUCACUAAAUGAAAGAAGCCAACCUAAAAAGGCUGCACGUUGCAUGAUUCCGACUCUGUGACAUUCUGGGCAAGUCAGAACCAUGGCGACAGUUAAAAGAUUAGUGGUUGGGCUUCCCUGGUGGCGCAGUGGUUAAGAAUCCGCCUGCCAAUGCAGGGGACACGGGUUCCAGCCUUGGUCUGGGAAGAUCUCACAUGCCGUGGAGCAACUAACCCUGUGCGCUGCAACUACUGAGCCUGCGCUCUAGAGCCUGCGAGCCACAACUACUGAAGCCCACGGGCCUAGAGCCCAUGCUCCACAACAAGACAAGCCACUGCAAUGAGAAGCCCACACACCGCAACAAAGAGUAGCCCCCGCUCUCCACAACUAGAGAAAGCCCGCACGCAGCAACGGAGACCCAAAGCAGCCCAAAGUAAUUUUUUUUUAAUUAUUAAAAAAAAAAAAAAGACAGAGACACAGAGGACCACACCUGUGUCAGCAGAGCCGAGGCUGGAGCCCUGUGGCCACAAGCCAAGGGGUGCCAAGGAUGGCCGGCGCCAUGAGAAGCUGGAGAGAGGGAGGCUUCAGAGGCAGCACGGCCCAGCUGGUGCCUUGACCUCACACUCUGGCCUGUAGAGCUGAGACAGUAAGUUCUGUUGUCCUCAGCCACCCAGAUUGUGGCACUUCGUCACGGCCGUCCCAGGAGACCGAUACAGCCAUGCAUGCAGACAUCAGCUCAGGAGGUGGCCUCCCGGGGGACACGUGUCACGACGCUGUUAGAAGAAUGGGGACGCGGAAGGGCCACAAGAGAUGGACAAAAGCACCCGUAGAAGGACGUGGAGAGAACGAGUCCAUUAUUUUGAGGACAAGAAACCAAAACCACGUGCUUAUUUUCACAGCACAGGACGGGCGCUUGAGGACACACUCCGCCAUCCGCAGACCAUCCCUCGGGCCGGGGGAGGGGGUCUUUCGCUCUUUGCCGUUUCCCAGAGGGAGAUACUUCAUUUACUGUGAGGCUCAUUUGACCCCUAACCUGGAAUAAAUCUCACUAAAACAAUACGACUGGCUCCCUUUUCUAGACAAAAGUUGCCCGAUUUAUCGGCCAAGGGAGCCAGGACCUCACCCCUCUCCCUGGGGUGAACGUCCACAGGAACUCCUGGGGAGGGGCGUCCAGCGGGUCACGAAGGACAGGGACGAAGCAGCAACGACCCACCGGCUUGGGUUUUCUGGGCCCCAAAUGGGAGGUGUGGGAUGCUCUGCUCUGCGGGCCAGGUCCCGCGGCAGCUGCUCAGGGACAGAUCGCACGUGGUGGGUGCAUCCGGGGAGAAGGUGUGCGGAGGGGUGGACGCCUCGGGCACCAGGGGCACACCCGUCCCUUUCCACCAGCCAUGGGACAGCCCACUGCUGAGAAGGCUGGUGCUUCCUAAGGACACCUGCCCCUGGGGACGUGCGGACAGGGAGCUGAGGUGCAGACCUACCUUACUGCGCCUUCACCACCACGCUUCUCCCCCCAGGGUGCCGCAUCCAGCAGAGGGUUCGCAGGGAGCCGUGCACAAGGACACAAGGAGGCAGCUGCGUCCCUGCCGUCUGCCCGCUGCCACUCCCUCAAAGCGUUCGCCACCAGGGCCUGCCCAGCCGGGCACAGAGGAAACUGCAGGCUGGGACAAGCCAGCCAGCAAGGGGAGCCGGAUGUGCCCCCUGUUCGGCAGCCACUGGUAUCACUCGAUAAUCGUCAUCAGAUGGAGCGUAGCUGAUGGCACAGUUCUGUGUUGUCCACACUUAAUUCCACACGAUGGCGGCACGAGGUGAAGCAUCACAAAGGAGUAAAAGCCAGAAACAGGCGACCUGGACGCACGGCCAGCUGGGCUGCAGGACAAGCCCAAAGACCCAAGACAGGCCAUCCCAGCUUGCACUCCAAGGCCACCUGAAGGCCUCCACCACUCCACACGUGGGGUGGGAGCAAACCAGGCACUACCCUGCUCACAGCUCUGAGCUGGAAGGAAAAUAUAAGCACUGGCACAAAAGUUUGGAUUUUAUAAAUAAGAAAAGCCACUCGGAUGUUCCAAAGGGCACAUUUCUAUUUAUUCCAGAGGGCCAUGGGCCCCGCGCCCUUAAGGCCUCACUGGCCAUGAUGGGGCCACCCUGAAGCAGCAAGGCCCUUCCCCAGCUGGGCUGUAGGCAGGACUGACCCAGAGAAGCUUCUGCUAUAAACUGAAUUGUAUCCCCCGUCCCAAAUCCCGUGUUGAAACCCUAAACCCAGUGUGGUCCCGUUUGGAGGUGGGGCCUCUGGGAGGUGAUGAGGUGAGAUGAGGUUGUCGGGUGGGGCCCCGUCAUGGGAUUAGAGCCCUUAUAAAAGGAAGAGACACCAGCGCGCUCUCUCCCUUCCCCACGUGAGCACACAGUGCGGAGGUGCCGUCUGCAAGCCGGGAGGUGGGUCCUUGUCAGAACCGGCCACCUGAUCUCCGACUUCCAGCCUCCAGAACUGUGAGAAAUAAACUUCCACCGUGUCAGCCUCCUGGUCUGUGGUGUGUUGCUAUGGCAGCCCGAGCAGACUGACACAGCUUCGUAACUUGAUAACUUAAUGGCUAUUUUCAGUAUGUAUUAAUGAACUUAGAAUAUAAAUAUCCUGUAAAAUGAGAAAAAAAAUGUAGGAAAGUUCCAAACAUACUCAUCACUUAGCUUCAACAACUCAUU
Globicephala melas (long-finned pilot whale) is the source of this 5550-nucleotide RNA transcript. It is a transcript of the gene named coiled-coil domain containing 166, with no coding region annotated. NCBI's taxonomy places the organism in Eukaryota, Metazoa, Chordata, Mammalia, Artiodactyla, Delphinidae. The record is from RefSeq and is a predicted model, not a curated record.